GGCCAGACUCCUACGGGAGGCAGCAGUGGGGGAUAUUGCACAAUGGGGGGAACCCUGAUGCAGCGACGCCGCGUGGGUGAAGGAGCGUUUCGGCGCGUAAAGCCCUAUCGGCAGGGAAGAAGGAGGACGGUACCUGACUAAGAAGCCCCGGCUAACUACGUGCCAGCAGCCGCGGUAAUACGUAGGGGGCAAGCGUUAUCCGGAUUUACUGGGUGUAAAGGGAGCGUAGACGGCAGUGCAAGUCUGGAGUGAAAGGCGGGGGCUCAACCCCCGGACUGCUCUGGAAACUGUACGGCUGGAGUGCAGGAGAGGUAAGUGGAAUUCCUAGUGUAGCGGUGAAAUGCGUAGAUAUUAGGAGGAACGCCAGUGGCGAAGGCGGCCUGCUGGACGAUGACUGACGUUGAGGCUCGAAAGCGUGGGGAGCAAACAGGAUUAGAUACCCCCGUAG
This 448-nucleotide ribosomal RNA is filed under the name uncultured bacterium. Its description in RNAcentral is "bacterial SSU rRNA". It matches the Rfam family "Bacterial small subunit ribosomal RNA", at positions 329 to 793 of the family's 1533-position model. The record is from RNAcentral.